UGCUCGUCAAAGCAUAGCCAAUAAACAUAGCCGUCGAGUCGUCGAGUUCAUUUGCACCAUAACACAAAUGUCGGCCACUCAGUUUUCUCUCUCUCGAAACCCUACAUUUGCUUCCCCCUCUUCCGCCCUCAAGUCCUCCUCCUUUACCUCUCAUGUCUCUUCUCGCUCUCACUCCCUCAAGCUCCCUCAUUCCGGUCCUUCGACCUUCACACCUCUAUCUGCUAAACGCGCCGCAGCUGUAGUUCUACAUGCUGCCGCCUCCUCUCCCGCUUCAUCGGCGUCUGCGACGGAGAAGAACUUCCACGGGCUCUGCUACGUGGUGGGCGACAACAUUGACACCGACCAGAUCAUCCCGGCGGAGUACCUGACGCUGGUGCCCUCGAAUCCGGCUGAGUACCAGAAGCUCGGGUCCUACGCUUUCGUGGGGCUCCCGGCGUCGUACACCACACGCUUCGUGGAGCCAGGCGAGACCAAGACCAAAUACUCCAUUGUCAUCGGUGGCGACAACUUCGGGUGUGGAUCUUCCCGCGAGCACGCCCCCGUGGCGCUGGGCGCAGCUGGCGCGCAGGCCGUGGUGGCGGAAUCCUAUGCGAGGAUCUUCUUCAGGAAUUCCGUCGCCACUGGGGAAGUGUACCCUCUGGAAUCGGAGGUGAGGAUUUGUGAGGAGUGCCGGACUGGUGACGUGGUGACAAUUGAGUUGGGGCAAAACAAAUUGAUCAAUCAUUCCACGGGCAAGGAAUACAAAUUAAAACCAAUUGGGGAUGCUGGCCCCGUCAUUGAGGCGGGAGGAAUCUUCGCCUACGCCAGGAGCACUGGGAUGAUUCCCUCAUCAUAAUCAGCAUGGGGGUUUUACACCAUGAACAUUUGCAUUCAGGCUGCUUAGACAGGGAAUAGUUUUGUUUGUAAUUCUGUUUACAAAUGAUGUGUUCAUUUUCUAAAACUCGAGCUGUUGUAAUCGUGCUGCUAUUCGUGCUGGUAAAAGAGGAAAUCUGUUUCCUGAUGAUUGAAAUAUAAAGAUCAGGAAGACAUUGUUCUUGAGCUCGUUCCGCAGGAAGACGGCAA
This is an RNA transcript of Carica papaya (papaya), 1062 nucleotides long. It is a transcript of the gene named 3-isopropylmalate dehydratase small subunit 1-like, with no coding region annotated. Lineage: Eukaryota; Viridiplantae; Streptophyta; Magnoliopsida; Brassicales; Caricaceae. The record is from RefSeq and is a predicted model, not a curated record.